This 6540-nucleotide long non-coding RNA is filed under the name Phaseolus vulgaris (common bean). RNAcentral's name for it is "long non-coding RNA (PVUL_LNC001356)". Lineage: Eukaryota; Viridiplantae; Streptophyta; Magnoliopsida; Fabales; Fabaceae. The record is from RNAcentral.
AAGAUAAUUACAGGGAAAGACAAUAAAAGAAAGAAGCAAAGCUUAGGUUGAUCUGAGAUGCAAGUAGUAGUACUAGAAUGAAGUGAAGGGUGUCAAGGUUUUCUUCUAAAAUAAGGGAAGGUAUUGGAGCUACUACUCUCUUCAUGCUCAUCUGAUUCUUGGGUAAUACCACUGGCGCCAGAAGAUGAGGAAUAAGUCUUGUUCUGCGCCAAAAAGUCAUAGAAAACCAUCUUCAACUUCCUCACCUUCCGGUUAUCCACUCUCCCUCUCAAACUCCCCAUCUCCUUCUCCUCCCCAUUUCUACCACUUCUCCUCUUCAAAAAUAUGCGACAUAGAACCCAGUUUUCCAUGGGAACUUCAACCACAGGGCUCUGCACGCGCACACACAAACAAACCAAAAACACUGUAUGAGUAAUUAAUGCAUGCGUGGGGUUAAUUUGAAGUUAAUUUGGUAGCUCUGAAUCCUGACCUGAGACAGAGAGGAAGUGGGUGCGUUAAGGAGGCGAUAUUCAUGCAUGAUCCAGUCAGUUCUAGAUCCAUGAGGUGGCUUUCCUCUGUAGAAAACAAGUGUCUUCUUCAUCCCCACAACUUGGUUCCCUUUUGAAGUUACAAUUUGUUUGUCCAACCCAGUGGCCUUCCAAUAACCUGAAUUGGUGGCUCUGUUGGAGCGGUUGCCAUUAGGAUAUUUGGGCUCUUUGGUGCUGAAAAAGUACCUUUCUUUCUCUAAAUCACCUAAACACAGCACCCAGAAGGGAUUGCAGUUAGACUCAAUUAAUUGGGAAGAAGAGAGAGGGGAAGAAGAGAAUGAUAGGCACCUGGCAAAUCCCAAGGAUCAGACUUGCAAAGGGAAGGAGAAGACCUUCCGCUUUAAGUAUUGCACAACCAAUUCCUCGUCAGUUGGGUGGAAACGGAACCCCGGGGGUAAUCUGAGCUCCCCAUUCUUCACAAAAUUAAGUUUUUCCAUUCCACCACACCACACAACAACCUACUUCUCCUUCUCUGUAUAUGUUUUGAAUAUAGCAGUAUGGUACUAACAGUUUUGUGUGUCCGACUAGAGCAGAGCAGGCCAGUUGGGUGGGUGACAAUUGAAGCACUCGUGGGGGUUCUUAUAACUCCAUUAAAGCGUAGAGGAAAAUAAAGAAAGGGGCUGAAGAAGGGGAAAGGAAAGAAGAAAAAGGAGGGAAAAGGGUGUUAUUAUUAUUGGAUAAAGAAAGCGAAAGGGUAUGGAGUAAGAUGCAGUGUGGCUUCUUUUAUAGAAAUGGGUCUGACAGGAAGGAAGGAGAAGAAUAAGACGACACAUUUGGCGUAAACCAGACUCAACCUUUCUUUUACUUUGACGUUAUAUUAACUAUGGUUUAAGGUUUUUUUUUUAUAUUAUUAUUAUUAUGGUUUGUUUGUGAGAGAAGUUGUUACUCCAGACCAGAGUGGGUGGUGCUAAUAAGAAAACAAAGGCUAGUUCCCUGUGUUGUGGUUGCAAUUUGGAGUUAGAUUGGAGGAGGAUUCCGUUGGGUUUAUCCAAACAAAGCACUUAUCUGUCCCUUCCUUGGAUAAAACAAAACAAGUUCUCCAUUUUUUGUUUCUAACAAACAACUAAAUUUUGAUUUGGUUGGUUUUAAUGUUAUCCUAAAGUGAGGAAGUUUAGAAAGGAAGGUAAAUGAAAAAAAAAGAGGUGUCUGAAGUGAGGUUAUGUGAUGGGGUACAGCUGGAAGUGACCCAAGGGAAGGGAAUGCAAAGAGGCUUUAUCAGUGGCAUGGCACUGAGUUGGUGAAAGUACAGAACUAACCCUCUCUUUCUAUUUCUGUUCUAUCUCUCAACGGGGAACAAAAGAAUAUGAAUGAAUAGAGGAUCUUGUUUUUUAGAACACCUCAGCAAGAGAACCCACUCUUCAUUUGUACGGUUUUCGUAGUAAGUAACUUCUUCACACUUUAGACGCAUCCCAUUCUGUCGGUGUUUCCUUUAAUUCACUAAUAUUAUUCUUAUCUCAUUUUAAUAACUUUCACAAAACUCUUUACUCAAACUAAAUUCAUUUCUUCUAAGAUUAUUUACUAUUUAUUACUUUUAGCUUUGAUUUGGAAUUAAAAAAACAAUUAUCUUUACCUCUUAGAAUAAUUUCACAAUUUUUCUUUUACUCUUCUUUCUCUCGUCCUUGUAAAUACUAAGUUCGGAUUGUAUCUGUAGAAGGCACUCUGACAUAAUGUUCAGUGCAAUUAAUGCGUAAUGAUGACGUAUCUUAUUUUUAAAAUGUGUGAUUAUUUAUAUGAUUAUCAUGAAUGAUUUCUUAUUGGAUCAAUUAAGAUUUUGAAUCAUAAUUAAAUAUGCAUUACAUAAUUUAAUCACCGUUUGAUCUUGUUAAUCUUCUGUAAGACUUAAUUAAUCUGAUUACGUGAAUCGAUUUUGACUGAGUUCCACUUGUCAUUUGGAGCCGUUACAAUCCGUAAGGUUGUCAUUAUUAAAUGCAAUUUAGGUCCACGCUUGUUCAAGAUUUUUUUAGAUCGCAAAUAGUGAAUUAUGUUUCUGGGACAGUUUUGAAAAUUGAAUUGAUUGUAUUUAUGAAUUUCUUGUGAUACCACAUUCAUUUGAGGAGACGUGAACGUAAACAUACACUUGCGAAAUCAUUUUCAAAUCAAUUAAAAUAUUCUGUUAGCUUUUCAAUAACUUAAGGGUCUAAAUCACGCUGAAAUGGACUAACCAUACAAAUUGGCAUAUAUUCUUAUUAAAGGUACAUGCAUAAAAACUAUGGCCAUAUAAAACCAAUGAGAAAAUCUAUUCUAUCCCAGACAGACAUCAUCCUAUGUAUUGCAGUCUUAAUUCUCAUAAUAUAUUUCUGUGUGGGCCUAAUUUCUUUUUAUUUUCCCACCAAAUAAUGGAAACGUCCACGUUACUUGGGAGUGUAGAACAACUGUUUUUAAUUUAAGUACUAGUCAAACACUCCAUAACUAAGUUCAUUUUAUUUAUUUAUUUACUAUACUCUGUCGGGAAAAUUACAAGUUGAUUAAUUCCUUUAUUUCACAAACUAUUGUUUAUCAGGGAGUCUGAUGGUAGAGAAUUUAUUAAUUAAAUUUUUUUAUUUGGGUAGUAUAUUGAUAGAGUUCGCACUAUAAAAAGAUUCAUCAUCUUGUUUAGGUCGAUCGACAUAAUCAAUAACAAAAUUGAUUGAUAAUUCAAUAUUAGUUAAUUUGUCUUUAUUAGGUCUAUUAAUGACAAAUGGUCCACAAUAAUAAUAUAAAUAAGCAUAGAUUAAAAAAAAAAAAAAAUAAGAGAAGUGAUGUAAUAGUUUUUUUAUUCUCACCCGUUCAAGAAUAGAUAUGUCAAUAAAAAUAAUGUAUGAUUGUGUUGAUAUUCUCAUAGAUUGAGGCAUAUUACUUCUAGUUUUGUUUUAUUUAUUAGUAAUCAUCUGACUAAUUACUUUUAAUCAUACACAUUUUAAAAAAAUAUUGAUUAAAAAUAUAACUUGAGAGGUUGAAACAUAAAGUGUUAUUUUUGUUAGAUCACCCUAACGUUGACAUGAAACAUCCAUCUAUUUUACCAGUGUCUAAUAAUAAUUUAUGCAUAGUUACAAUUGACAAAAAUGUUUUUUAAUUAGAUUUAUUUCACAAAUUCAACGUUUUAACGAAUUUUUAUUUGUAACAAGACUCCGGCUUUAAUUUCCUUUUAUUUCAACAAAAAGAUAUUCUAAAAAAACUAGGUAUCAUUUCAUAUCAAAGGUAAGAGUACAAAUAUGAUAAAAUAUGUUUUUUUAAUCAUUCUAAAACAUCUAAAGUUUAGUUAUAUUUUAAAAACAUUGUUGUUUUUAUUCCUCCUACUUUUGAUUCUUUAAACGUUGUCUAAAUAAUAUAUUGUCUUUUAUAAAACGUUAUUUAAAUUUGAAGGAUAAAAUUAUGCUUUUCAAAAUUAAAGUGACUGAAAAUAAGACAAAAGGAGUUAGAAGGGCUAAUAUAUCGAAUUUAGUUGUUCUUUUUAAGAAGAAACCAAUAAAGAUACUUUACUCCUUUUUAUUUAAAAACUAAUUUGUUGACUAUUCAGGUAACAUAUGGACCUGCAGUAUAAGAUUUUUUUUUUAUUGUUGUUAUAAAAGCAACUUAUAGUUGACCGGUUAGUUUUAAAAGACAAUGAAAUAUGAAGAAUAUUAAAAAAUUAUACUAAAAUCUAAAUUUUUGGCAUAUUAAAAUUAAAAGUUAUGGUAAUGAUUUUUGCAUACUCAUCAAAGGAAAAAACAUAAAUUUAUUUUGAAUGUGUGUUUUGUUUGUGAAGUCUCUUUUAGAGUAUGGGAUUACCAUUGAUGUCAAUUGUUUAAAAUAUUACUUUGUCUCUUUCAAGAGAGACAAUUCUUUUAUGUGUCAAUCGAACAAAUCAUGUAAUAAUAAAGAGAGAUGAUAAGUAAAAAAAAAAAAAACACUCCAUUUUAGAGUUCAAUUUAAACAACUAAAAACUGUACACGUUGCUCUCUAUUUGUUCCACAGUACGUUAAAAAAGGAAUUGUGUUAAAUGUUUAAUUAAUAAUAUCGCAGGUGACAUCUGCACACCUUCAAUAAUUGAAUUUUGACUAGUUUUCUCAGUAUUUUUGGAUUUCUUAUUUGUCUUAAAAAAAGGCAAAGUAAGUUGUGAUUGUGUUAUAAUGAAACGCAUAAUAAGUGUAGAGAAGUAUGAAAAAAGAUAAGGUGUUUGUUUAGUGAUUAGUAGUAUUGGAAUGAAUUAUUUUGAAAAGUAGUUUGAUAGAGAGAGAUGUAUAAUAAAAAAAUGAUAAUGAGAUGAGAAGAAAGGUGGGUGAAAGAAUAAAGGUAAGGGUCCCAGUUGGUUCGAAAACCAGGGGCAACCACGUAGGAUUAAGGGUAGAUGACAAAUAUGGUACCUUCAAGUGAUGCCCCAUUUCAAGAUUUCCACGAUCUUCUUGUCUCACUGUUUCCAUCUAAUCAUGCAAUACAAUGCAGUGUAUUUCCAAACAGGAUUCUAAUUAAAACAACCAUUUUCAGUUCUUCUAUUUACAUCUCACUCCUUCUAUUCGGACAAAAUUUGUUAUUUUUGUUUUUCCACUUUUUUUUCUCAUUCAAAUAUGUUCAGUUUUUUGUUCUUUCUCCGACUUAGUUUUGGGUGUGACAUUCUCUGACUAAGUGGCCUUUAAAGUGAUGUUUUAUACAACUAAAUCGUUAUCGGUACAUAAAAUAAUUGAGAGAUGAGCAAUAAUUUUAUGAGUUGCAUGAUUAUAACACCGUCCUAGUUUAAUCUGCAAAUUGCUUAAAGUUUUUAUUUAAUUUUGUAAAAGGUACAAAUUGGAUGGGUUGUGGCAGUGGUGCAGGACAGUGUUGUAUGCAUGAGGUGAAGAAAUGUAAGCAAUAGGGAAACGUAGCUGUCAUGCUUUCUAUAUAGCUCAGAACUAGACGUGUUAAAACACUCAUGGUUUCUGCACAGAAUGCUAUAAAACAAACUACACUUAAUUACCAUCAUCAUCAUCUGAAACUACAACCAAUUUCAUUCUAAUAAACUCUUAAGCAUAUUCAUGAUAGGCUCUGUAUUUGCCAUUCAAAAAAUGCUUCCAAUUUCUGCAUUUCUUAUUCAAUAUAUAUACAUAUAUUGUAGUUGGUUAUUAAGAUCACAGAUAACCCUCCUCUCUCUAUCCGACAAGAAUGACCAUUCAUUUUGCAACCUCUUCUUUUCCUAAACAAAAGGAACAAACUAGUGCAAAGGUUGUGUUCUUAUUUUAUGUUUCUUCUCCUGAAAACGGUCUUUAAAAUAUACAUGUAUUUUGGACCUCUUUUCUUAUGCUCUUUCCAUGGAUUCUUUCUCUUUUGCUCUGUCAAAGCAUCUCCUUCAAGACUCAAAAUUAGUAGCUUUUAGCUAGCUAAAAGAAGCACUGCCUUUGCAUUUGCAUGAUGAUGAAGGGCAUCAUCAGAGAUUGAACUAAAAAGAAAAACUGGAUUGCACACUAGUUUUAGUAGCAUACUCUUCAGACUUAGACUAGCCUUGGUGCCGGUUGAAAAUGAGAAGAUAAUUACAGAGAAAGACAAUAAAAGAAAGAGGCAAAGCUUAGGCUGAUAUGAGAUGAGAUGGUUGCAAAACAAGUAGUGGCACUAGAAUUCAAGUGAAGGGUGUCAAGGUUUUCUUCUAAUAUAAGGGAAGGUGUUGGAGCUACUACUCUCUUCAUGCUCAUCUGAUUCAUUGGUAACCCCACUGGCGCCAGAAUUUGAGGAAUCGCUCUUGUUCUGCGCCAUGAAGUUAUAGAAAACCAUCUUCGACUUUCUCACCAUCCCCUUAUCCACUCUGCCUCGCAAACUCUCCAUCUCCUUCUCCUCCCCGUUUCUACUACCACUUCUCCUCUUCAAAAAUAUGCGACACAGAACCCAAUUUUCCAUGGGAACUUCAACCACAGGGCUCUGCACGCGCACACACAAACAAACCAAAAACACUGUGUGAGUAAUUAAUGCAUGCGUGGGGAUAAUUUGAGGUUAAUUUGGUAGCUCUGAAUCCUCACCUGAGACAGAGAGGAAGUGGGCGCGUUAAGAAGGCGAUAUUCAUGCAUGAUCCAGUCAGUUCUAGAUCCAUGAG